GUGAAAUUGUAAUUCCGGUGAAGAUGCCGGAUACCUGCGACAGGACGGAAAGACCCCAUGGAGCUUUACUGUAGCUUGACAUUGGGUCUUGGUACUACAUGUACAGGAUAGGUGGGAGGCUUUGAAACCAGGACGCCAGUUUUGGCGGAGCCAUCCUUGGGAUACCACCCUUGUAGUACUGGGACUCUAACCAUAGGCCAUGAAUCUGGUCUUGGGACACUGUCAGGUGGGCAGUUUGACUGGGGCGGUCGCCUCCCAAAAGGUAACGGAGGCGCUCAAAGGUUCUCUCAGUACGGUCGGAAAUCGUACGUAGAGUGUAAAGGCAAAAGAGAGCUUGAUUGCAAGACAUACAGGUCGAGCAAGGAUGAAAAUCGGACUUAGUGAUCCGGUGGUUCUGCGUGGAAGGGCCAUCGCUCAACGGAUAAAAGCUACCCUGGGGAUAACAGGCUUAUCUCCCCCAAGAGUCCACAUCGACGGGGAGGUUUGGCACCUCGAUGUCGGCUCAUCACAUCCUGGGGCUGUAGUAGGUCCCAAGGGUUGGGCUGUUCGCCCAUUAAAGUGGUACGCGAGCUGGGUUCAGAACGUCGUGAGACAGUUCGGUCCCUAUCCGUCGCAGGCGUAGGAAAUUUGAGAAGACCUGUCCUUAGUACGAGAGGACCGGGAUGGACG
This 669-nucleotide ribosomal RNA is filed under the name Clostridioides difficile. RNAcentral describes it as "partial 23S ribosomal RNA". It matches the Rfam family "Bacterial large subunit ribosomal RNA", at positions 2036 to 2703 of the family's 2925-position model. Lineage: Bacteria; Bacillati; Bacillota; Clostridia; Peptostreptococcales; Peptostreptococcaceae. The record is from RNAcentral.